RNAcentral lists this transfer RNA (68 nucleotides) under Marmota monax (woodchuck). RNAcentral's name for it is "tRNA.Ala". The stretch from base 3 to 63 matches the Rfam family "tRNA", at positions 6 to 65 of the family's 71-position model. Rfam says of the family: Transfer RNA (tRNA) molecules are approximately 80 nucleotides in length. Lineage: Eukaryota; Metazoa; Chordata; Mammalia; Rodentia; Sciuridae. The record is from RNAcentral.
GAUGUAGCUAAGUGGUAGAGCACUUGCAUAGCAUGCAUAAGGCCCUGGGUUCGAUCCCCAACACCCCA